GUGGGGAAUCUUGCGCAAUGGACGAAAGUCUGACGCAGCGACGCCGCGUGGGUGAUGAAGGCCUUCGGGUUGUAAAGCCCUGUGGGGAGGGACGAAUAAGUUCCAGCUAAUACCUGGAGCGAUGACGGUACCUAACCAGAAAGCCACGGCUAACUACGUGCCAGCAGCCGCGGUAAUACGUAGGUGGCAAGCGUUAUCCGGAAUUAUUGGGCGUAAAGCGCGCGCAGGUGGUUUCUUAAGUCUGAUGUGAAAGCCCACGGCUCAACCGUGGAGGGUCAUUGGAAACUGGGAGACUUGAGUGCAGAAGAGGAAAGUGGAAUUCCAUGUGUAGCGGUGAAAUGCGUAGAGAUAUGGAGGAACACCAGUGGCGAAGGCGACUUUCUGGUCUGUAACUGACACUGAGGCGCGAAAGCGUGGGGAGCAAACAGGAUUAGAAACCCUAGUAGUCC
RNAcentral lists this ribosomal RNA (449 nucleotides) under uncultured bacterium. RNAcentral's name for it is "bacterial SSU rRNA". It matches the Rfam family "Bacterial small subunit ribosomal RNA", at positions 354 to 796 of the family's 1533-position model. The record is from RNAcentral.